GUUUUUACAGUUUCCUUUUAUGAAUGCUGAAAUUACACAGGGAGAUCUCAGGGUCCACCUACCUACUUUGCCUUCUUCCCAUUUUCUUGGUUAUACGUACGUGUAGAAUGGAUUUCUUGCCGAACAUGGAAACUCUGUUCAAUCUUUUGCUUCAUUUAUGGGUUUUUCGGAUUAUCAUUUUCUUUCUUUCUUUGGUUCAUGGGAGGCCAACAAGCCAUUAGUGGCAAAAUCGAGAGUGGCUCAAAUCCCAAAAGCAAAC
Molecule: long non-coding RNA, 259 nt
Filed under: Ricinus communis (castor bean)
Lineage: Eukaryota; Viridiplantae; Streptophyta; Magnoliopsida; Malpighiales; Euphorbiaceae
Description: long non-coding RNA (RCOM_LNC000198)
Source: RNAcentral